Long non-coding RNA from Tyto alba (common barn owl), 5747 nucleotides. RefSeq lists it as uncharacterized. NCBI's taxonomy places the organism in Eukaryota, Metazoa, Chordata, Aves, Strigiformes, Tytonidae. The record is from RefSeq and is a predicted model, not a curated record. The transcript has 2 exons.
UUUAGAAAAAUAGCAGACUCGAGCAACAACCCAUGUCUGCAGAGUGAUGAAGUGGCAGAGUUGGGUCUGACAGUCCAUGGUCCCCAGCUGUUCACUGAAGCACGCAGAGAAGACAAUGUGUGGGUGAUGAAGCAGACUGGUUAGCUGGUUUUUACAUGGGACCUUCUCCCUUUGAACAGAUCUUGCCCUUACAAAUGGGCACGUGAUUCCUUUCAAGUCCCUCCGCAGGGAUAUAUCUGACUGAAUUUCCUAUAGCACAUUUCAGAAGGAAGAUAUUUCCCACAGCCACCAAUUCCCUCUGUCAAGCAGUGGCAAGGAUUUCACUGGGAUUUCAACAGACUAUUUCAUGGCUAGUGGUUUGUUUGGUCAAAAAAAGCUGUCCUGUGCUAACACUGACUGUCCUAGCUGAGCCUGCAGGUCCCACCGUGAAGAGGUAUGAGUGUCACACUGUCUUUAGCAUAUUUCUCCCAAACAGGUGGUGCAAAUUCCUUUUUCUUUCAUAGAGGAUAGUGUUAGGGGAAAACACAGAUUACAACCUCUAUUCCUUAAAAUGUCUUUUAUUCAUUAUCUGCUGUUGUUAAUAGAAUCAAGCUGUUAUUAGUAAUAGCAGGUAACUAUUCACAUAACACACCGCUCAUUCAUGUUCACUUAUUAGCUGAAGGAACUGUUGGGAGGCCAACCCCAAUGUGCACACUCAGAAACAGAAGGUCAUCCUGAUGCACCACUGGCUUCUAGGUAGGUCUUUAAAAAUUCCUUCAGAGAGCACUUUGUUUUACCAGCUGUAUACAUAACUCUGUAUUCUUCACCUGCAUAUAGCAGCCACUGCCCUCCUGGGUGUGAUCCAAGUUAUACAACCUGUUGUAGAUGUUGAUGUGUGCUGGCAGCCUUGUACAGCCCUAGACUGGUGGCCUAAGUUUAUCCAUUCAUGAGAAUUCAUCAGGAUUACUUGUCUUCAAAGCUUAUUGGUCUUUGGGAACUUUCACAUAGUAUCUUCUUAGCAUAUAUCCUUCUUGUCUUUGGGCUGUGAUGUUUUCUGGCAACUAUUUCUCCAUCUCGAUCUAUAGAAGCACAUAGAACUUAAACACACAAGCUUGUAUAAUGGGUGCUUCCAUGAUACCAAGAGGGUGCUUAUGAUAGCGCUUUACUGGGGUGGUGGAAGACAUAUGUCCUUGGCAGAGUAUGUGAUAUUGUGGCAUGAGGUGGGCUCAAAUUCAUAGGGAAUAAGCUGGCUGGAUCAGUACGUGGUCACACCGACACCAUCAACUUUACAUGGAUGGAGUCAACAUUUACGUACUCCCACUGAUCUAAGAGCCUAUACGUGACACGGAGAAAGGCUCCCUGCCACAGCUCUCCUUUGUGUUUUGCAGACUGUUUGGGGUGUGCCCCUCCUCUGCUAUUCCCUGAAUCUCUCUAUCCAUAGAGAUGUAAUUCUCUUCCCAUUUUAAAGUGUGUGCUUGGGUUUGUGACCAACUGUAUGACCAAUCUUCCUGUCUCCCCUUUUGAUCAAAACUAUUCAGUUAUACCCUUUAGAGAUAUAUAAACAUGUAACAAGUUCAGGUAGACCAAUUCUGGUUCCUGAUUUUGAAGAGUAUCCAUGGACUUUUGUCCUGUCUCAGCAUUUCUGUCUUCAGGACAUUCCUUCUACCAUGUUAUGGACUUGCAUCUGGACAUAUUGAGGUUUUUCCUGGUGGUCCAGCUGUCUUAUAUAUGGAGCAAUGACCUCCUCCAAUGAUAGCUGUGUUGCAAUGCCCAGCCUGACUGCUGGUGAAGAACAGAGUUCCUUGCAGACUCUAGAAGAGUUAAGAGGAACACUGUAACUGUGUGGCACCCCGCAGCUAGAAAAUUACACCUCUGCCCUAUAUGGGAACGUAGCAGGGCGGGAUGGCUCAAGUUUUCAAACCAGGAGAGCGCUCUCUGGGAUCUUAGCCAUAUGGCAUGCUGUGCUGGUUACUGUUGAAUAGGUUCGCUUGGGGCUUUCCUAUACAUGUGGUUAAUGAGAAAGUCUACUCCUUCAGCAGGUCUCAAUUAGUCUGGCUCCUUUGUGAGCAGCACUGGCUCAGUCUGCUAGCUUCAUUGAUGGUUUUGGUUGGCUUUCCCUGGUUUCGCUCAGCCGAGUCUUGGUCUGCUGCUGCUCAAAGAGGAAAUACCUUUGCUGGCUGCACAGCAAGGGUCUCCAAAGAAGUCUGGGCUGUAGUUGGUGUGUAACUAGCAAGCCUGAAUUUAGUGCCAGACAGAAAGCCUGGAGAAAGGAGUGUUUACCAUCUUGGAUGCCCACACUGGAGGAAACAGAGGAGUUUGGUUCUGGCAAGUGUUUCUGCAGCAGCAAAAGACAGGAUGCUGUUCUGCUCUGGUUUUCCUCAAAGGCUGAGGGAUGGCCUGAGAAUCUGCCUUGUGAGCCUCACAGAAACAGGAACAGCUGAACUCUAAUCAGAGCGGGUAAGACAGAAGGUUUCUACCAUGGCCAUUUGGGUUAUAACUUCCCUAACCACACUCUGGCUUCCUUGUGCUAGAUGUGGAAUGUGAAGACUUUCCUCUACAGAACACAGCAGAAAAAUUGAGAAGGAGGAAAGCAGCAUCUGUGCCACUUUCUGGAGGAUUAGAAGACCUGUCUGGUAUCAUGCAAGAAGCCAGCGGCAGAGUGGGAACCAAAUAAAUGCAUUAAUAGUGACUCAGACCCCAGGCUGGAACAGCCCAAGGGGUAUAAAACUGCAUCAUCCUUCUGACCAGCUGAAUUCCACUGAGGGGACAUCUUGCCAGCAGAAAAUGUGGUCAUUGUAAUUGAAACACUGCCUGAAACCAGAAAUAUCAUCUUAGAGGAGAAAAACUAUUCUGGCCAUUUUGAAAUGUUCUGGUUUGGUUAUUUUCAAAAUGAAAUGUUUCUAGCUUUUGCUUGGAAAAGACUUUGCAGCUCCAUUUGUGUGCAAAGAUGAUUAUUUAUGUAUAUGGUGAUGGAAGGAGUCAAACCAAAAAGGAAGGAAGGAAAACACUGUUGAGGCUGAAAGAGAGAACUGCCUCAUGAACAAUCAACCAGAUAAGACAGCUGGGAGAACGCAGCCUUUUGUCUGUCUUCAGAUAAAUCCCAAAAGACUGGGAAGUUUUUCCUUUGAUUUCUCACCUUUCUGAAUCCAAAGCUAGUAUAAUUAUACAGAUAAUUUCUGUGGAACAAAAAUUUCCAUUUUUGAUGCUCCUCUAGUACAACCGCUUAUACUCUGCCUGCACAUGACUCAGCCUAAUUGGUGUUGGAGAGACUAGAGACAAAGAAAAAUCUCAUAAACACAGAAAAUAAAUCCCACACAGAUAUUAAAACAAAGCUAGUGCAUUGUUAGUAGUGAAUCUAAAGAGCCUUGAUAUUUCCUGAAAACUCCCAUGUGGCUGCAAUAUCUUUCACAACAUCACUCCCAGCAUGUUAUGUGGUCAUUAGUCCGAAGAACAUACUCAUUCAUUUAUGAGUUUGAGAUGGGCUUGUUAGUCAGGAGUGGCAAACUGAGUUAUGAGCUUCAUUCCCAAAAGAUUCAAUAUUUAUUGUGUGCCAUCAGAUAUCUUGAUAAUUUGAUGGCUGGACUUCUCAGAAACUUGGAGUAUUAAAAACAAAGCCUGGGGGAAAUGAACUGGAAGAUCUGGUAGGAAUGACAUGGAGGAAUAGGAGUACUGCCUCCAGAGCUAGGUGGGACCUGGUGCUGUGACUCCAGCCCUCUGUGUCCCCAUGCUGUGGCAGGGGCCAUCAUGAGAGCAGAAUUUAGAGCAGGGUAAGUACUGGCAACUACUCCUUGACCCACUGUACCUGCCUGACAAUGGUGUGAGACUUCCAGAGGAAGGCUUCAUACCAAUGGACCACCCUGCUCCAUGUCAAGUUCUCCAUCAGUGACAACUAGAGAGGCUGUUUAGGGAGGGCCUGCAAGCCUGGGGGCUAUUUGAGGUCUGAUCCACCCAGAUCUGUCUCCACAAACCUUUUGUGUUCAUGUGUGUUAGAGGGCACAUCUCCCCUUUUACCAUCUGGCUAUGGACCUUGUUUACUGUGAAUCUCUCUGAACCCUCUGCAGACCAAUUGAUCCUGUUUGCUGCCAUGACAUCCUAUGGGAACAAUUUCCAGAAGUUUAUCACCUCCUGAGUAGAAAAACAAAAGUGCUCUUCUCUGUCAAACACAUCUAAAAUUUUCCAGUUUCAUGUUUCCAGCAAUUCUUGGGGCAUUUUGAACCUCCUUAGCUCUGAACAAGGAAGCCGAGUCACAGACGAGAGCCACCAAGAUGCCUCAGCUGACAUGUUUCUUGCUCUGAGCACUCAGAGCUUGCGCUUUCAUCGGUCACUGCUGGAGAGUUGAAGGCUCUGCUUAUUAAAAUCCAGGUGUGGAACUCACUGUACCAAACUCGUAAAUCUAAAAGACAGGCAUCCAGCAACUAAUCCAGGUGUCUGUAUAUAGAAGUUACAGAGGCACCACCAGCAGAUGAUUCAUCCUUUUCUAAAACAGGUAUCUGAUUGCUGCUGUGAGUCACUGCGGGAACCGCCUUCCUGUCUCUCUUGACUCCAGAGGAUGCUUAUUUAACCAGAGUGGAUUUCAUACAUAAGUUUAAAAUUGCUGAAGUUAGUUGAAACCUGCCCUCACCAUCUUCGACCUGUGAAAAGAGACACCUGAAGUCUAAGUCAUCUUGGAAGAAUUUUGGCUGAAGGGGGAUAGUGGGCUGGUGAGUGCAGGGUAGCCUGAUGCUCUGUCACCUGCUUGAGGUGGGAAAAACAUCCUGACCUCAGUCACAGCCGUAGUCUUUCAGGGCUUUAAAAUUAAUUAUCUUGGUUUUCUAACAAUGUACUUCCCAGUGGUCAGCCAUGAAUGAUGUAUCUAAGCAUUGUUUCUUUGGGAUUCAGGGUCAGGCCCGAUCUAUUUUAGGUGAUAAAAUGGCAGUUAAAUGCAUGAUACUUGGAUCACCAGUGUUUAACUAGGCAUCUGAAAAAGACAAGGAAGAAGAGCAAUAUUAUGAUUGUGUAAAUCUCCUCCUGUUUCUGAAUGUUAAAAAUCACAUAGCAGGUGCCACUAGAAUUGGGUGAUUAGCUUAGAAACCAUUAAUUUUAUAUAUCUGCGUAAAUGUGUCAGAAUGUGAAACUUUUCUGUAGAUGAAGGGACAAAUAUUUAUGAUCAUUUUGCCAAAAUGACAAUUUCGCUUAGUCAGCUUAUAAAGUGACUGAAGGUCACAGGCAUUUUCAAAAGUGAUAGGCAUUUCUUCACUUUGAGUGCUAAAGACCAGGGUUUUUUAAAAAGCUAUUUUAGGAGAACUGAAAAAAAAAAAAAUGUAAAACAAGCAGAUGUGUUUGUUACAAAGCCCAAUUGGCAUAUAACAGCUGCCAUCACUACAGUCUCCAUUAUGAAAUACUAUUUUUUCUGCAAAGUGCUCUAUCUUUCCAUCCAGUUUAAAAAGCAAUAAAGGACAUAGUUUUACACGUUGCUUUUUAGUUAAGAAUUCCAAGUAAGUGAGGAGUUGAUUGUUUUCAUGUAAUGACAAUUCCAAUAUGCAGUUACAAAAUUACCAGAUUGUAACACAGCAAACAUUUGUGUACGAAAAUCAGACUUUUUUUUUUAAAGCCUCUAUCCCAAAUCUAACUCUGCUGCUUUAUGAUUAAUACUUGUGUUUAUAUAUAUAUAUAUACACAUACACAUAUUUGAGUGUAACCACAUGCAUAUGGUAUUACAAUUUUUUGUCUCCUGGAUUUUUGUAUACUGUCUUUUCAAAGUUAAAACGAGAGCUUAUUUUUAAAGGAAA